CAAGCCAUGAGAAAAUAUGCAAUUUCCGAUCAGAUGAGCGCGAGCGACCGAAUUACGAAAUAUGGGAACGGAAAUAAUGCAUGAACAGCUGGCUUAAAGGGGCGAUGGAGUAAGUGGCGACAAUGAGCAUCGAAAUCAGCAGACCGUUAUCACACAAGUUGUAGAGAUGAUAGUCGCCGCUGCGUGAGUAACCUUCAACGCGAGUGUGCGCAGCACACUUGAAGAUAGAUUCACGGCAUAUGUAGAGAUGCUAAGAAAUUGCAGUAUCAAUAGCAAUCUCGGUUUUGCCGUCGAUUGAAAAACGUG
Molecule: long non-coding RNA, 306 nt
Organism: Neodiprion fabricii
Lineage: Eukaryota; Metazoa; Arthropoda; Insecta; Hymenoptera; Diprionidae
Exons: 2
Source: RefSeq, a predicted model, not a curated record